CUAGCGACUUCAGUAGUUUGAUCCUGGCUCAGGACGACGCUGGCGGCGUGCCUAACACAUGCAAGUCGAACGAGAAUCGAUGGAUUGCGGCUUCGGCCAAAUGAAGUUGAGGAAAGUGGCGAACGGGUGAGUAACGCGUGAGAAACCUGCCUUUCAGUGGGGGACAACAGUUGGAAACGACUGCUAAUACCGCAUAAUGUAUCGAGAGGGCAUCCUCUUGAUACCAAAGCUUUAUGUGCUGAAAGAUGGUCUCGCGUCUGAUUAGCUUGUUGGCGGGGUAACGGCCCACCAAGGCGACGAUCAGUAGCCGGUCUGAGAGGAUGAACGGCCACAUUGGGACUGAGAUACGGCCCAG
This 355-nucleotide ribosomal RNA is filed under the name uncultured bacterium. RNAcentral describes it as "bacterial SSU rRNA". It matches the Rfam family "Bacterial small subunit ribosomal RNA", at positions 1 to 334 of the family's 1533-position model. The record is from RNAcentral.